CUGGCCUCAAGUGAUCCCCCCAUGUCAGCCUUGCAAAACACUGGGAUUACAGGGCAUGAGCCACCAUGUCUGGCCUGGACAAGUGACUUUUGACAAAAGUCAAAAUAUUGAGAAAGGGUAGUAUUUUUAAACAAAUGGUGUGGAAACAUUUGAAUAUCCAUAAGCAAAAACAAAACAAAACAAAACAAAAACAUAAAAGAACUUGGAUCCAUAUUUCACACCAUAUAACUCAAAAUACAUGCUAGAUCUAGAUGUAAAACUUAAACCUUUAGAAGAAAACACAGGAAAAAAUCAUUGUAAUCUUUGGUUAGGCAAGGAUUUCUUAGAUACAGCACUCAAAGCACAACCCAGAAAUGAACAAAUGGAAAGAACGGACUUCAUCAAAAUAAGCAGUUCUGUUCUUCAAAAGACACUCUUAAGAGAAUGAAAAGACAAUCCAGAGACUGGGAGAAAACCUUUGCAAGGAUAAUGGACUGAUAGUGAAGUUACACCCAGAAUAUAUUUUUAAAAACUAUCAGUGCUCAACAAUAAAAAAACCCAAAUAACCCAACUGAUAAUGGGCAAAAGAUUUAAACAGACACUUCAUCAAAGAUUCUCAAUAAAAGAUGAUCAAUAUUAUUAAUCAUUAGGGCAGUGUAAAUUAAUAUCACAAUAUAACUUCACAUGUACUAGGAUAGCUAUAAUAAAAAAGACUAAUAAUAAUAAGAGUUGGUAAGGAUGUGGAGAAACCGGAAACCUCAUACAUUGAUAGAAUGUAAAAUGGUGCAGUCAUGUGAGGAACAGGCCUAGGUCUCAGGUCUCAGCCAUCACUCAUCUAUCCUGGGGAGAUACUACAAUGGUUUGGAGGACAAGAAAAUAAAACCGAAAACUAAAACUGACAUAUCACUAUAUGCCCACCACUAAUGGCUAUAGUAAAAAAGAUGGAAAAUGCCAAAUGUUGGCAAGUAUGUGGAGCACUAGAACUCGCAUACUGGGUUGGUGGGAGUGUACAUUGGUACAACCACUUGAAAACUGGUUUUAUAACAUAUAGCUGAACAUAUGGAUACACUUAGGUACAUACCUAACAGGAAUACAUACAUAUGUUCACCAAUACACAGCAACACAAUUCCUAAUAGCCCAAGCUGCAAACAACCCAAAUGUCUACAAACAGUAGAAUAAUGUGAAUGACAGAAGACAGAUGCUAAAGAGUAUAUGGCUCAAUUAUAUGAUAUAUAAUUGACUCAAUUUAUAUAAAAUACAAAACAGGCAAAAUGAAUCUAUGCUGUGAGAAGCCAGG
This 1276-nucleotide long non-coding RNA is filed under the name Homo sapiens (human). RNAcentral's name for it is "HSALNT0282345". The record is from RNAcentral. Lineage: Eukaryota; Metazoa; Chordata; Mammalia; Primates; Hominidae.